CCUACGGGAGGCAGCAGUAAGGAAUAUUGGGCAAUGGACGCAAGUCUGACCCAGCCAUGCCGCGUGCAGGAUGAAGGCCCUUUGGGUUGUAAACUGCUUUUAUCUGGGAAGAAAUCCACUGUUUCUACGGUGGUUGACGGUACCAGAGGAAUAAGCACCGGCUAACUCCGUGCCAGCAGCCGCGGUAAUACGGAGGGUGCAAGCGUUAUCCGGAUUCACUGGGUUUAAAGGGUGCGUAGGCGGGUUUUUAAGUCAGCGGUGAAAGCUCCGAGCUUAACUCGGAAAUUGCCGUUGAUACUAUUAAUCUUGAAUUUAGUUGAGGUGGGCGGAAUGUGUAGUGUAGCGGUGAAAUGCUUAGAUAUUACACAGAACACCUAAUUGCGAAAGGCAGCUCGCUAAAACUAAUAAUUGAACGCUGAGGCACGAAAAGCGUGGGGAAUCAAAACAGGAUUAGAAAACCCUGGUAGUCCACGCCCUAAAACGAUAGAUUACUCGAUCCGUGCGAUACACUGUAACGGGUCUAUGCAAAAGCAAUUAAGUAAUCCACCUGGAAGUACGACCGCAAGGUUGAAAACUUAAAGGAAAUUAGAAGG
Molecule: ribosomal RNA, 593 nt
Filed under: uncultured bacterium
Lineage: Bacteria
Description: bacterial SSU rRNA
Rfam family: Bacterial small subunit ribosomal RNA
Source: RNAcentral